Molecule: non-coding RNA, 975 nt
Filed under: Drosophila virilis
Lineage: Eukaryota; Metazoa; Arthropoda; Insecta; Diptera; Drosophilidae
Description: Eukaryotic large subunit ribosomal RNA
Rfam family: Eukaryotic large subunit ribosomal RNA
Source: Rfam by way of RNAcentral
CAACCUCAACUCAUAUGGGACUACCCCCUGAAUUUAAGCAUAUUAAUUAGGGGAGGAAAAGAAACUAACAAGGAUUUUCUUAGUAGCGGCGAGCGAAAAGAAAUCAGUUCAGCACUAAGUCACUUUGUCUAUAUGGCAAAUGUGAGAUGCAGUGUACGGAACAUCAACAUUCUAGUAUGAGAAGUUAACGAUUUAAAUCCUUCUUAAAUGAGGCCAUUUACCCAUAGAGGGUGCCAGGCCCGUAUAACGUUAAUGAUUACUAGAUGGUGUUUCCAAAGAGUCGUGUUGCUUGAUAGUGCAGCACUAAGUGGGUGGUAAACUCCAUCUAAAACUAAAUAUAACCAUGAGACCGAUAGUAAACAAGUACCGUGAGGGAAAGUUGAAAAGAACUCUGAAUAGAGAGUUAAAUAGUACGUGAAACUGCUUAGAGGUUAAGCCCGAUGAACCUGAAUAUCCGUUAUGGAAAAUUCAUCAUUAGAAUUGUAAUAUUUUAACAAUAUUAUAAUAAUAGUGCGCAUUUUUUCCAUAUAAGGACAUUGUAAUCUAUUAGCAUAAAUAUUUAUCAUAAAAUUAUGUCUGAUUGCUUAUUUGAAUUAUAUGCUUGGCAUUUUAACAUAAAAUAAAAGAUAUAAAUUUGAUAAAGUGCUGAUAGAUUCAUAUGAUUACAGUGCGUUAAUUUUUCGGAAUUAUAUAAUGGCAUAAUUAUCAUUGAUAUUUGUGUUUAUUAUAUGCAUUUGUAUGAUAACAAAUGCGAAAGAUUCAGGAUACCUUCGGAACCCGUCUGAAAACACGGACCCAGGGAGUCUAACAUAUGUCCAAGUUAUGGGGAUUUAACCUUAAUGGGGAAAUUACCUGGAUUAUUAAGGGGAUUAGUUUUUUAACUAUUUAUAGUAAAUAAACCCAUUCCCGGGGCGCUCUAAAUAGUUAUGUAUAAUAAUAUUUAUAUUAUUUAGCCCUCUAACGGGAACGUCCCUG